GGGAAUGACACCGGAUUAAAAAAAUACUGUUAAAUGAUUAUCAUUUCUCUUUUUUAAAGAAUAUUGACUUAAUUAGAUCUACGCCUUCCAAAUUUCAUUCAAUUCACUUCGUGUCUAUCUCUGAAAUGUUUAUAUAACUGUAUACCUGUUAAAUUAUAAGCGUGUGCCCAAUAAUUGAAUGUGACAACAAAUAUAUACCUUCCAGUAUGUCAAAGCUAAUCAGAGAUUAAGAGCAUUUAAUUUAAACGUUAAAGAGGUAACGGUGUCCUAAAAGACGAUGUGGACAUCUUAGUGUUAUCUAUGCGUUUUGUAUGGAAAACAAAUUAGCAUCGCGUCAACAGCUGUUGUGACUGUGUGUAUAAAACGAGACUGUGGACUAAGAGCCACUGCACAUCGCCUUAGUACAUCUAAUCAACACGUAGGUAUCAGCUCCUGUCUAAGGGAAAAGGUGGGUACACACGGUGACACUUGUGCGGGUCGAAAUUCCAGCUGUGUCAUCUUUUGACGUCGAGCCUGGUUAUGGGCGGUUCGUUCACAAUGAGAUUUCGAAGUUGUGUGACGUAUCUGGUCUUUCUGACGUGUGAUAAGUCUCAUUGUUUGCACAUUGUAAGGGUGUGGUCAUGUUAAACACUGCCAUACGAUCGUCAACGGACGGAAAAGUAGAACACUGUAAAUCGCUCUCCUAUACCAAGCGAGAUGAGCAAUAAUCUCUUGUCAACCAAGGACACCAACAAAAGCUUGUGGUGAACUCAUCUAGAAGAGCGAUUAGACGUGCUUCUCCUUAUCGUCCGUUAUCGUUCGUGAAGUAGCUCUUUGCUUGAUUUUACCCACACAGUGGUUUGGCAAAGUCUGGGAAUUGAUUUGUGCUGUUGUUUUUAUUUUUGUAUUUCCUCACCUAGCAACGAGACAAGCUAACAACAGCAUGAGGCUCUCGUUUCUCCCGUCUCUUCUGCUGGUUCUUUUCCUCGUCCUUCACGAACACGUAGGGAGGACGUCGGGGUGUGACCACAAACCUGGGUGGAAAAGGGAUCCAAGGUUCCUGUUUGGCUCUGAUGAAAAGGACAGUUUGACAAAGCAACACGGAACAACACUCUCCCUAUACGUUGAGGACUGAUUCACCGGUUUUGGGAUGUGAGACAAAAGACGCAGUCUAAGACCAAGAGACACCAACGAUCAGCAAACUGCCAAACUUACAGACGUAGAGGGAGACUGGUGUUGGUAUUGGAAUCGAUCAAAGAAUAAUGCUCAUCGGAAGGAAGAAAUAACACUACGAGAAGACAGAGAGACUGUUACAGAUUGGACACAGACUGUUCUGUUGGUUGUCAAUAAAACAAAAUGAAACAUU
Molecule: long non-coding RNA, 1345 nt
Organism: Aplysia californica (California sea hare)
Lineage: Eukaryota; Metazoa; Mollusca; Gastropoda; Aplysiida; Aplysiidae
Exons: 2
Source: RefSeq, a predicted model, not a curated record